CUUAGAGUUUGAUCCUGGCUCAGGGAUGAACGCUGGCGGUAUGCUUAACACAUGCAAGUCGAACGGUGUCUUCGGACAUGGUGGCGGACGGGUGAGUAACGCGUGAAAAUCUACCUUCGAGUCUGGGACAACCACUGGAAACGGUGGCUAAUACCGGAUGUGCCGGAAGGUGAAAGGCUUGCUGCCUGAAGAUGAGCUCGCGUCCGAUUAGCUAGUAGGUGGGGUAAGAGCCUACCUAGGCGACGAUCGGUAGCUGGUCUGAGAGGAUGACCAGCCACACUGGGACUGAGACACGGCCCAGACUCCUACGGGAGGCAGCAGUGGGGAAUUUUCCGCAAUGGGCGAAAGCCUGACGGAGCAAUACCGCGUGAGGGAGGAAGGCUCUUGGGUUGUAAACCUCUUUUCUCAGGGAAGAACACAAUGACGGUACCUGAGGAAUCAGCAUCGGCUAACUCCGUGCCAGCAGCCGCGGUAAUACGGAGGAUGCAAGCGUUAUCCGGAAUGAUUGGGCGUAAAGCGUCCGCAGGUGGCUGUGUAAGUCUGCUGUCAAAGAGCAAAGCUCAACUUUGUAAAGGCAGUGGAAACUACACGGCUAGAGUGCGUUCGGGGCAGAGGGAAUUCCUGGUGUAGCGGUGAAAUGCGUAGAGAUCAGGAAAAACACCGGUGGCGAAGGCGCUCUGCUAGGCCGCAACUGACACUGAGGGACGAAAGCUAGGGGAGCGAAUGGGAUUAGAUACCCCAGUAGUCCUAGCUGUAAACGA
RNAcentral lists this ribosomal RNA (761 nucleotides) under uncultured bacterium. RNAcentral describes it as "bacterial SSU rRNA". It matches the Rfam family "Bacterial small subunit ribosomal RNA", at positions 1 to 809 of the family's 1533-position model. The record is from RNAcentral.